CAUCCCUUUAAUGGAAAGAACAGCAAACUACAGGAGAGCCCAGUAUAACUCCCUCUUUCCAAAAAAGGGGCGGAGAAUGGAUUAUGUGGCAAAACCGUGGUUUGUCCUGAGGAGAAUCUGUACACUGUGCAUGCUCUGCCAGCUCUCACACUUCAUUAUUCAACACAUACACACACUCACACACACAUACCGAAAGCACAGAAAAGCUCUUUGGGCUUCUGAGAGGAUGUAUUUUUAGAGUGAUGAAAUCUCAUGACCAGACUGAGGCUGCAUGUCUCACUCUUUGCACCAGGCACUGUCCUUCCACCAUCUCUCAUCCGCUCACUCAAGACCUUCACCGGAUAAUGAGGCAAUGUGGGUGGAAGCAGCAACACAGUAGAGAUCCUGAGCAUGUUUGUAAAGGACAGAGCAGCCCGCUGGUAUUCUGCCAAACCAGAGCUCCAUGUGCUAUCAGGGUCUGGAGAGAGAAGCCCUUGCUGCACUGAAUGGAAUUGCUGCAAAUUCAUGCUUGUGUGCCCAAGAACAAACCAAAGGAAUGUUUGACUAUGUGUGUCGGUGAUGUAAAAAAAAAGAAGGAAUAAGAAAAUGACUAAGAAUGUUCUUUUGUGUAUAUGUUUGUGCUUGUAUUGCAUCUGAUAGAAACCACAGCAAAGUAAGCCUUGCCUUUGGCUUCUGGCUCAAAUGACCGGAUACAGGAUGUGAUAAAGCAUUUGUCUGCUAGUGUUAUACAUUACGCUUGUGAUCACAGAAUCUACUUAUAUAACACAGUGUAGGCAACAAAAGCAUUAGACAGAAGCACCACAGGCAGUCAUUUUCUCUUUAAACUAGAACACCCAUACUGCCAGAAAUGUGGUGACUUUAACACUGAUCCAUUUUUUGGGCUGUUGUAAAAGAUCCCUUAUGAUUUGAGAUUCACAGCAAAUUCAAGCAAGACUAAGUAAAAAUAGUGAUUCUGCUAACUAAAUUAUUAUUCAGUGGUGUAUUUCUCCUUUUAAACAACAAGCUACUGUUUCUAAAGUGUAGUGGUGCAGCAUUAUCAAAAGUUAUAGCUUUUUAAUGUCUGAGACGGGAUAAUAAUUUGGUUCUUUCUAAAUAUUAAUUUCUCUUUCAUAUGAAUUGUGAUUCAUUUCAACUAAUUGGUUCACUGAGACAAUUCAUGUUGUAAAUUAAUCACUCAUAAAAAUUCCCUUAUUGCUAUUGUGCUAGCAAAAAUAAAGUAUA
This is a long non-coding RNA of Cyprinus carpio (common carp), 1221 nucleotides long. RefSeq lists it as uncharacterized. The record is from RefSeq and is a predicted model, not a curated record. NCBI's taxonomy places the organism in Eukaryota, Metazoa, Chordata, Actinopteri, Cypriniformes, Cyprinidae.